RNAcentral lists this ribosomal RNA (457 nucleotides) under uncultured bacterium. Its description in RNAcentral is "partial 16S ribosomal RNA". It matches the Rfam family "Bacterial small subunit ribosomal RNA", at positions 339 to 795 of the family's 1533-position model. The record is from RNAcentral.
CUACGGGGUGCUGCAGUGAGGAAUAUUGGUCAAUGGGGGAAACCCUGAACCAGCGACGCCGCGUGUGGGAUGAAUGGGCUCUGCCCUGUAAACCACUGUUGAGAGGGAAGAAAAGCUUCUUAUGGAAGCCGGGACUGUACCUCUUCAGAAAGGAUCGGCUAACUACGUGCCAGCAGCCGCGGGAAUACGUAGGAUCCAAGCGUUGUCCGGAAUUACUGGGUGUAAAGGGUGCGUAGGCGGGCUUGUGCGUCAGGGGUUAAAUCCCACGGCUUAACCGUGGAGCUGCCCUUGAUACGGCAAGUCUUGAGUGUGAGAGAGGAUGGUAGAAUUCCUGGUGUAGCGGUGAAAUGCGUAGAUAUCAGGAGGAAUACCAGUGGCGAAGGCGGCCAUCUGGCUCACUACUGACGCUGAGGCACGAAAGCGUGGGGAGCGAACAGGAUUAGAUACCCGUGUAGUC